GGUAUAUUAGCUAAAUGGUAAAGCAUAGUAGUAUUUAGGCUACUAAAAUAUGAGUUCAAGUCUCGUAUAUGCCG
RNAcentral lists this transfer RNA (74 nucleotides) under Madurella mycetomatis. RNAcentral's name for it is "tRNA-Leu". It matches the Rfam family "tRNA". From Rfam's summary of the family: Transfer RNA (tRNA) molecules are approximately 80 nucleotides in length. Their secondary structure includes four short double-helical elements and three loops (D, anti-codon, and T loops). The record is from RNAcentral. Lineage: Eukaryota; Fungi; Ascomycota; Sordariomycetes; Sordariales.